RNAcentral lists this ribosomal RNA (776 nucleotides) under uncultured Neocallimastigales. RNAcentral's name for it is "partial large subunit ribosomal RNA". It matches the Rfam family "Eukaryotic large subunit ribosomal RNA", at positions 24 to 647 of the family's 3401-position model. The record is from RNAcentral. Lineage: Eukaryota; Fungi; Neocallimastigomycota; Neocallimastigomycetes; Neocallimastigales.
GUAGUCUCGCACAGACUGCAUAUCAAUAAGCGGAGGAAAAGAAACUAACAAGGAUUCCCCUAGUAACGGCGAGUGAAGCGGGAAGAGCUCAAAUUUGAAAUCUUAAAGGGUUUCCCUUUACGAAUUGUAGUUUAAAGAAGUGUUUUCUGUUGAGGUUUUGGUAAAAGUUCUUUGGAAUAGGACAUCAUAGAGGGUGAGAAUCCCGUAUUUGACCUUUACUUUCAACUUUGUGAUACACUUUCAAAGAGUCGGAUUGUUUGGGAAUGCAGUCCAAAAUGGGUGGUAAAUUUCAUCUAAAGCUAAAUAUUGGCGAGAGACCGAUAGCGAACAAGUACCGUGAGGGAAAGAUGAGAAGAACUUUGAAAAGAGAGUUAAACAGUACGUGAAAUUGUCAAAAGGGAAGCGUUUGACACCAGUGUUGUUUUUCUGAAAAUCAAUUAAAGAACUGUUUAUGCUAAGCUGUUUAGACUUUAUCAGCUAUCUGUUUAGUUUUGAGCUUUUCUUUAAUGCACUUUUCAGUUAACAAGUCAACAUCAAUUUCUUUUGCUGUAAAAAGGCUUGAGGAAGGUGGCUUGAGAUUCGUCUUAAGUGUUUAUAGCCUCUUGCCUAUGCAGUCGGAGAGAUUGAGGUCUGCAGCGUAGAUCCUUCGGGGCUAAAUGCAUUUGUGCUAAGUUAUAACAUUUUAUAGACAACUUGUCGACUAUGAUUUGUCUUGUAGCAUUACUCGCUUAUGUUAUUUUACCUACGCUUAGGAUGUUGAUCUGUAGUGCGUGCGC